Molecule: unclassified non-coding RNA, 264 nt
Filed under: Hevea brasiliensis (rubber tree)
Lineage: Eukaryota; Viridiplantae; Streptophyta; Magnoliopsida; Malpighiales; Euphorbiaceae
Source: RNAcentral
GUCAAAAGUGGCGCCUUUGUGAGAUUGGUCUUGAGGAUUAUUCUUUCGUUCUUCUAAGCAGAUUCCUGAAUGCCCUUGAUUCUCUGGGAGGAUCAUCUUGGCUUGCAGAGAACGUAGGUUCCCAGAGCAUAAGCUGCUGGAAUAAUCCUCUUCUCGCUCUUAUAAUUGGUAUUCACCAAGUUAGGCUUUCGGGUUGGAAAUCAGAGGAGUGCAUCGCUCUAGAGAAUGAAAUUCUUGCAUGGCAGCAAAAAGGAUUACCCGAAA